Molecule: ribosomal RNA, 2532 nt
Filed under: Triticum aestivum (bread wheat)
Lineage: Eukaryota; Viridiplantae; Streptophyta; Magnoliopsida; Poales; Poaceae
Description: partial small subunit ribosomal RNA
Source: RNAcentral
AUGGUGAAGUUUACCGCGGAGGAGCUCCGUGGAAUUAUGGACAAAAAGAAUAAUAUCCGUAACAUGUCUGUUAUUGCUCAUGUUGACCAUGGCAAAUCUACGCUUACGGAUUCCCUUGUGGCAGCAGCUGGGAUUAUUGCCCAGGAAGUAGCUGGUGAUGUUCGCAUGACCGAUACCCGUGCAGAUGAGGCAGAACGUGGUAUUACAAUCAAAUCCACGGGUAUCUCUCUUUUCUAUCAGAUGACUCCUGAAUCACUCGAGAUGUACAAGGGCGACAGGGAUGGUGAUGAGUACCUGAUCAACCUUAUUGAUUCACCUGGCCACGUUGACUUCUCUUCAGAAGUCACAGCUGCUCUUCGUAUCACCGAUGGUGCUUUGGUUGUUGUUGACUGUAUUGAGGGUGUCUGUGUGCAGACUGAAACUGUGCUGCGCCAAGCUCUUGGUGAGAGGAUUCGGCCUGUCCUCACCGUGAACAAGAUGGACAGAUGCUUCCUUGAGCUUCAAGUGGAAGGCGAGGAAGCAUAUCAGACUUUCUCCCGUGUCAUUGAAAAUGCCAAUGUCAUCAUGGCAACAUAUGAAGAUGUGCUCCUUGGUGAUGUCCAAGUGUACCCAGAGAAGGGGACUGUUGCAUUCUCCGCUGGUUUGCAUGGGUGGGCUUUCACCCUUACAAACUUUGCUAAGAUGUAUGCCUCCAAGUUUGGAGUUGAUGAGUCGAAGAUGAUGGAGAGGCUGUGGGGUGAGAACUUCUUUGACCCAGCCACAAAGAAAUGGACCUCCAAGAACACUGGGACAGCUACCUGCAAGAGAGGUUUCGUUCAGUUCUGCUAUGAGCCAAUCAAGCAAAUCAUAGCCACCUGCAUGAAUGAUCAGAAGGAUAAGUUGUGGCCAAUGUUGAAGAAGCUUGGUGUGACGAUGAAGAAUGAUGAGAAGGACUUGAUGGGCAAGGCUCUCAUGAAGCGUGUGAUGCAAACUUGGCUGCCUGCCAGUCGUGCUCUGCUUGAGAUGAUGAUAUUUCACCUUCCCUCUCCCUCAAAGGCACAGAGGUAUCGUGUGGAGAACUUGUACGAGGGUCCCCUUGAUGAUAUAUAUGCUAAUGCUAUCAGAAACUGUGACCCUGAUGGUCCUCUUAUGCUGUAUGUCUCCAAGAUGAUUCCAGCAUCUGACAAGGGUAGGUUCUUUGCCUUUGGACGUGUUUUUGCCGGGAGGGUUGCAACUGGUAUGAAGGUCCGUAUCAUGGGUCCCAACUUUGUUCCUGGCCAGAAGAAGGAUCUGUAUGUGAAGAGUGUCCAGCGUACUGUUAUCUGGAUGGGAAAGAAGCAAGAGUCUGUUGAGGAUGUUCCCUGUGGUAACACUGUUGCUUUGGUUGGUUUGGAUCAGUUCAUCACCAAGAAUGCAACCCUGACAAAUGAGAAGGAAGUUGAUGCCUGCCCAAUCAGGGCAAUGAAGUUCUCUGUGUCCCCUGUUGUGCGUGUUGCCGUUCAGUGCAAGGUGGCAUCUGAUCUUCCUAAGCUUGUUGAGGGUUUGAAGCGGCUGGCGAAGUCUGACCCUAUGGUUCUCUGUAGCAUUGAAGAGUCUGGUGAGCAUAUCAUUGCUGGAGCUGGAGAGCUUCACCUUGAAAUCUGUUUGAAGGAUCUGCAGGAGGACUUCAUGGGUGGUGCUGAAAUUAUUGUUUCCCCUCCCGUCGUCUCCUUCCGUGAGACUGUUCUUGAGAAGUCCUGUCGCACUGUCAUGAGCAAGUCCCCCAACAAGCAUAACCGUCUUUACAUGGAAGCUCGCCCAUUGGAGGAGGGAUUGGCUGAGGCUAUUGAUGAUGGCCGCAUUGGCCCACGUGAUGAUCCUAAGGUGCGCUCUAAGAUCCUAUCUGAGGAGUUUGGUUGGGACAAGGAUCUCGCCAAGAAGAUUUGGUGCUUUGGACCUGAGACGACUGGCCCCAACAUGGUUGUUGACAUGUGUAAGGGAGUGCAGUAUCUGAAUGAAAUCAAGGACUCUGUUGUGGCUGGGUUCCAGUGGGCAUCGAAAGAAGGUGCUUUGGCUGAGGAGAACAUGCGUGGCAUUUGCUUUGAGGUCUGUGAUGUUGUUCUGCACACUGAUGCUAUUCACAGGGGUGGUGGUCAGGUCAUCCCAACAGCCAGGAGGGUCAUUUACGCUUCUCAGCUCACUGCUAAGCCAAGGCUGCUGGAGCCCGUGUACCUGGUUGAGAUCCAGGCCCCAGAGAAUGCACUCGGCGGUAUCUAUGGUGUUCUGAAUCAGAAGAGAGGGCAUGUGUUUGAGGAGAUGCAGAGGCCUGGUACCCCACUGUACAACAUCAAGGCUUACCUCCCGGUCAUCGAGUCUUUCGGGUUCUCAAGUACCCUCAGGGCAGCGACAUCUGGCCAGGCAUUCCCCCAGUGUGUGUUCGACCACUGGGACAUCAUGUCUUCUGAUCCUUUGGAGGCCGGCUCCCAGUCUGCCACCCUUGUCACGGAGAUCCGCAAGCGCAAGGGUCUUAAGGAACAGAUGACCCCUCUGUCUGAUUUUGAGGACAAGCUCUAA